CCUACAGGAGGCAGCAGUGAGGCAUAUUGGUCAAUGGCCGUAAGGCUGAACCAGCCAAGUAGCGUGAGGGAAGACUGCCCUAUGUGUUGUAAACCUCUUUUAUGCGGGGAUAAAGGUGUCCACGUGUGGAUGUUUGCAGGUACCGCAUGAAUCAGGACCGGCUAAUUCCGUGCCAGCAGCCGCGGUAAUACGGAAGGUCCGGGCGUUAUCCGGAUUUAGUGGGUUUAAGGGGAGCGUAGGUCGGUCUUUAAGCGUGCCGUGAAAUUUUGUGGGUCAACCAUGGGAGUGCGGCGCGAACUGGAGACCUUGAGUGCGCGGAAGGCAGGCGGAAUUCGUGGUGUAGCGGUGAAAUGCUUAGAUAUCACGAAGAACCCCGAUUGCGAAGGCAGCCUGCCGCAGCGUUACUGACGCUGAAGCUCGAAAGCGCGGGUAUCGAACAGGAUUAGAUACCCUUGUAGUC
Molecule: ribosomal RNA, 460 nt
Filed under: uncultured bacterium
Lineage: Bacteria
Description: partial 16S ribosomal RNA
Rfam family: Bacterial small subunit ribosomal RNA
Source: RNAcentral